RNAcentral lists this long non-coding RNA (658 nucleotides) under Capsella grandiflora. RNAcentral describes it as "long non-coding RNA (CGRA_LNC001573)". Lineage: Eukaryota; Viridiplantae; Streptophyta; Magnoliopsida; Brassicales; Brassicaceae. The record is from RNAcentral.
UUCGUCACCAUAUUCUAGGAAACACCAUCAUAUUAUCUAUACAUCAUAACCAUUUUCCGUCAAAUUCUAAACGCCCGAGCUUUUAGUACGGAGGAGGUGGGUAUUGUCCUGGGUAUGGACCUGGAAACAAGAAGAAACAAGAUCAACCACCAUUCAAAAUAGUUAGUGAACAGCAAGCGCUAUCAAUUGAAGCACAUACAUGAAAAAGAAAGGACAAUUAUUGUACCUUGUGAGUAAUACGAAGGUUGAGGAGGGUAUGGAGGAGGAGGGUAAGUUGAGGAUGGUGGAGGAGGAGGGUAAGCUGAAGGUACCGGAGGGUAAGCCGAGGUUGACGGAGGAGGAGGAUACGCAGAUGGCUGAGGAGGAUAGGCUGAAGCUGGUGGGUAUCCUGAUGGCUGUGGGUAUUGUUGUACUUGUGGGUAUAGAGAUGGUCCAGUGUAUGGUGCUGAUGAGUACGGAGAUGCAGAAGGAGGUGCUGAUGAAUACGGAGAUGCAGAAGGGGGUGCUGAGUAUUGAGGCACUUGAGGCGCAUAUGGAGCUGAUGGAGCAGCCGCAUAAUUAUGUUUCUGCAUACAAGAAUGGAUUGUAUGUUUAGACUUUUGUUUAUAAUGUAACAUGUAAAACAAUGUUGUUUAACUGAGUCUCAGACUUUACCUUU